Molecule: ribosomal RNA, 205 nt
Filed under: uncultured bacterium
Lineage: Bacteria
Description: partial 16S ribosomal RNA
Rfam family: Bacterial small subunit ribosomal RNA
Source: RNAcentral
CCUACGGGAGGCAGCAGUAGGGAAUCUUCCACAAUGGACGCAAGUCUGAUGGAGCAACGCCGCGUGAGUGAAGAAGAUCUUCGGAUCGUAAAACUCUGUUGUUAGAGAAGAACACGAGUGAGAGUAACUGUUCAUUCGAUGACGGUAUCUAACCAGCAAGUCACGGCUAACUACGUGCCAGCAGCCGCGGUAAUACGUAGGUGGC